GCCCUGGUGGCAAAAUGGUUAAGCACUCAGCUACUAACUGAAAGUUGGGGGUUCAAACCCACCAGUGGCU
This 70-nucleotide transfer RNA is filed under the name Loxodonta africana (African savanna elephant). It matches the Rfam family "tRNA". From Rfam's summary of the family: Transfer RNA (tRNA) molecules are approximately 80 nucleotides in length. The record is from Rfam by way of RNAcentral. Lineage: Eukaryota; Metazoa; Chordata; Mammalia; Proboscidea; Elephantidae.